UUUUUCAUUUUUUUUGUCAAGA
Molecule: small RNA, 22 nt
Filed under: Arabidopsis thaliana (thale cress)
Lineage: Eukaryota; Viridiplantae; Streptophyta; Magnoliopsida; Brassicales; Brassicaceae
Description: ATSL239520
Source: RNAcentral